GAUGAAGAACGUAGCGAAAUGCGAUAAGUAGUGUGAAUUGCAGAAUUCAGUGAAUCAUCGAAUCUUUGAACGCACAUUGCGCCCCUUGGUAUUCCAUGGGACAUGCCUGUUCGAGCGUCAUUUACACCCUCAAGCCCUGCUUGGUGUUGGGCGUUUGUCCUCCAGCGACUACCGCGUGGACUCGCCUCAAAGGCAUUGGCAGCGGUCCUGCCGGGCCUCCUAAUCGCGCAGCACUGUUCGCGCUUCUUGGAGCCCGCGCGGAUUCGGCGUCCAUCAAGGCCCAAUUUUCUGAACUUGACCUCGGAUCAGGUAGGGAUACCCGCUGAACUUAAGCAUAUCAAUAAGCGGAGGA
Molecule: unclassified non-coding RNA, 352 nt
Filed under: soil metagenome
Description: partial contains 5.8S ribosomal RNA, internal transcribed spacer 2, and large subunit ribosomal RNA
Rfam family: 5.8S ribosomal RNA (bases 1-120)
Source: RNAcentral